Molecule: ribosomal RNA, 497 nt
Filed under: uncultured bacterium
Lineage: Bacteria
Description: partial 16S ribosomal RNA
Rfam family: Bacterial small subunit ribosomal RNA
Source: RNAcentral
GAUGAACGCUGGCGGCGUGCCUAAUACAUGCAAGUCGAGCGAACAGACGAGGAGCUUGCUCCUCUGACGUUAGCGGCGGACGGGUGAGUAACACGUGGAUAACCUACCUAUAAGACUGGGAUAACUUCGGGAAACCGGAGCUAAUACCGGAUAAUAUAUUGAACCGCAUGGUUCAAUAGUGAAAGACGGUUUUGCUGUCACUUAUAGAUGGAUCCGCGCCGCAUUAGCUAGUUGGUAAGGUAACGGCUUACCAAGGCGACGAUGCGUAGCCGACCUGAGAGGGUGCUCGGCCACACUGGAACUGGGACACGGUCCAGACUCCUACGGGAGGCAGCAGUAGGGGAUCUUCCGCAAUGGGCAAAAGCUUGACGGAGCAACGCCGCGUGAGUGAUGAAGGUCUUCGGAUCGUAAAACUCUGUUAUUAGGGAAGAACAAAUGUGUAAGUAACUAUGCACGUCUUGACGGUACCUAAUCAGAGAGCCACGGCUAACUACGUG